Molecule: ribosomal RNA, 468 nt
Filed under: uncultured bacterium
Lineage: Bacteria
Description: partial 16S ribosomal RNA
Rfam family: Bacterial small subunit ribosomal RNA
Source: RNAcentral
GACGAACGCUGGCGGCGUGCUUAACACAUGCAAGUCGAACGGAAAGGCCCUGCUUUUGUGGGGUGCUCGAGUGGCGAACGGGUGAGUAACACGUGAGUAACCUGCCCUUGACUUUGGGUUAACUUCAGGAAACUGGGGCUAAUACCGGAUAGGAGCUCCUGCUGCAUGGUGGGGGUUGGAAAGUUUCGGCGGUUGGGGAUGGACUCGCGGCUUAUCAGCUUGUUGGUGGGGUAGUGGCUUACCAAGGCUUUGACGGGUAGCCGGCAUGAGAGGGUGACCGGCCACAUUGGGACUGAGAUACGGCCCAGACUCCUACGGGAGGCAGCAGUGGGGAAUAUUGCACAAUGGGCGGAAGCCUGAUGCAGCAACGCCGCGUGCGGGAUGACGGCCUUCGGGUUGUAAACCGCUUUCGCCUGUGACGAAGCGUGAGUGACGGUAAUGGGUAAAGAAGCACCGGCUAACUACGUG